UACGUAGGGACCAAGCGUUGUUCGGAUUUACUGGGCGUAAAGAGCGUGUAGGCGGUUCGAUAAGUCUGCUGUGAAAGUCCAGGGCUCAACCCUGGAAUGCCGGUGGAUACUGUCGGGCUCGAGUCCGGAAGAGGCGAGUGGAAUUCCUGGUGUAGCGGUGAAAUGCGCAGAUAUCAGGAAGAACACCAAUGGCGAAGGCAGCUCUCUGGGACGGUACUGACACUGAGACGCGAAAGCGUGGGGAGCGAACAGG
RNAcentral lists this ribosomal RNA (253 nucleotides) under uncultured bacterium. RNAcentral's name for it is "partial 16S ribosomal RNA". It matches the Rfam family "Bacterial small subunit ribosomal RNA", at positions 524 to 776 of the family's 1533-position model. The record is from RNAcentral.